CCUACGGGUGGCAGCAGUGAGGAAUAUUGGUCAAUGGACGAGAGUCUGAACCAGCCAAGUAGCGUGAAGGAUGACUGCCCUAUGGGUUGUAAACUUCUUUUAUAUGGGAAUAAAAUGUUCCACGUGUGGGAUUUUGUAUGUACCAUAUGAAUAAGGAUCGGCUAACUCCGUGCCAGCAGCCGCGGUAAUACGGAGGAUCCGAGCGUUAUCCGGAUUUAUUGGGUUUAAAGGGAGCGUAGGUGGAUUGUUAAGUCAGUUGUGAAAGUUUGCGGCUCAACCGUAAAAUUGCAGUUGAAACUGGCAGUCUUGAGUACAGUAGAGGUGGGCGGAAUGCGUGGUGUAGCGGUGAAAUGCUUAGAUAUCACGAAGAACUCCGAUUGCGAAGGCAGUUCACUGGACUGCAACUGACUCUGAGGCUCGAAAGUGUGGGUAUCAAACAGUAUUAGAUACCCGUGUAGUC
This 460-nucleotide ribosomal RNA is filed under the name uncultured bacterium. RNAcentral's name for it is "partial 16S ribosomal RNA". It matches the Rfam family "Bacterial small subunit ribosomal RNA", at positions 338 to 795 of the family's 1533-position model. The record is from RNAcentral.